GAUGAACGCUGGCGGCGUGCCUAAUACAUGCCAGUCGAACGAAACUUCUUUAUCACCGAGUGCUUGCACUCACCGAUAAAGAGUUGAGUGGCGAACGGGUGAGUAACACGUGGGCAACCUGCCCAAAAGAGGGGGAUAACACUUGGAAACAGGUGCUAAUACCGCAUAACCAUAGUUACCGCAUGGUAACUAUGUAAAAGGUGGCUAUACUACCGCUUUUGGAUGGGCCCGCGGCGCAUUAGCUAGUUGGUAGGGUAAAGGCUUACCAAGGCAAUGAUGCGUAGCCGAAUUGAGAGGUUGAUCGGCCACAUUGGGACUGAGACACGGCCCAAACUCCUACGGGAGGCAGCAGUAGGGAAUCUUCCACAAUGGGCGAAAGCCUGAUGGAGCAACGCCGCGUGGGUGAAGAAGGUCUUCGGAUCGUAAAACCCUGUUGUUAGAGAAGAAAGUGCAUGAGAGUAACUGUUCACGUUUCGACGGUAUCUAACCAGAAAGCCACGGCUAACUACGUG
This 512-nucleotide ribosomal RNA is filed under the name uncultured bacterium. RNAcentral describes it as "partial 16S ribosomal RNA". It matches the Rfam family "Bacterial small subunit ribosomal RNA", at positions 28 to 507 of the family's 1533-position model. The record is from RNAcentral.